GGGCGGGUAGUUCAGUUGGCUAGAACGUCUCGUUUACACCGAGAAGGUCACAGGUUCAAGUCCUGUUCCGCCCACCA
This 77-nucleotide transfer RNA is filed under the name Candidatus Omnitrophota bacterium. RNAcentral's name for it is "tRNA-Val". It matches the Rfam family "tRNA". From Rfam's summary of the family: Transfer RNA (tRNA) molecules are approximately 80 nucleotides in length. Their secondary structure includes four short double-helical elements and three loops (D, anti-codon, and T loops). Further hydrogen bonds mediate the characteristic L-shaped molecular structure. tRNAs have two regions of fundamental functional importance: the anti-codon, which is responsible for specific mRNA codon recognition, and the 3' end, to which the tRNAs corresponding amino acid is attached (by aminoacyl-tRNA synthetases). tRNAs cope with the degeneracy of the genetic code in two manners: having more than one tRNA (with a specific anti-codon) for a particular amino acid; and 'wobble' base-pairing, i.e. permitting non-standard base-pairing at the 3rd anti-codon position. The record is from RNAcentral. Lineage: Bacteria; Pseudomonadati; Candidatus Omnitrophota.